Molecule: transfer RNA, 84 nt
Filed under: Treponema sp.
Lineage: Bacteria; Pseudomonadati; Spirochaetota; Spirochaetia; Treponematales; Treponemataceae
Also listed under: 3 other names
Description: tRNA-Leu
Rfam family: tRNA
About the family: Transfer RNA (tRNA) molecules are approximately 80 nucleotides in length. Their secondary structure includes four short double-helical elements and three loops (D, anti-codon, and T loops).
Source: RNAcentral
GCCCGGAUGGUGGAAUUGGUAGACACGCUAGUUUCAGGUACUAGAGCUCGAAAGGGUGUGCAAGUUCAAGUCUUGUUCCGGGCA